AACGAACGCUGGCGGCAGGCCUAACACAUGCAAGUCGAGCGAUGAAGCACCUUCGGGUGUGGAUUAGCGGCGGACGGGUGAGUAACGCGUGGGAACGUGCCCUGGGGUACGGAACAACCAUUGGAAACGAUGGCUAAUACCGUAUGACGUCUUCGGACCAAAGAUUUAUCGCCGAAAGAUCGGCCCGCGUCGGAUUAGCUUGUUGGUGAGGUAAAAGCUCACCAAGGCGACGAUCCGUAGCUGGUCUGAGAGGAUGAUCAGCCACACUGGGACUGAGACACAGCCCAGACUCCUACGGGAGGCAGCAGUGGGGAAUAUUGGACAAUGGGCGCAAGCCUGAUCCAGCCAUGCCGCGUGGGUGAAGAAGGCCCUAGGGUUGUAAACCCCUUUCAGCGGGGAAGAUAAUGACGGUACCCGCAGAAGAAGCCCCGGCUAACUCCGUG
This 443-nucleotide ribosomal RNA is filed under the name uncultured bacterium. RNAcentral describes it as "bacterial SSU rRNA". It matches the Rfam family "Bacterial small subunit ribosomal RNA", at positions 29 to 507 of the family's 1533-position model. The record is from RNAcentral.